CCUACGGGAGGCAGCAGUGAGGAAUAUUGGUCAAUGGUCGGGAGACUGAACCAGCCAAGCCGCGUGAGGGAUGAAGGUACAGAGUAUCGUAAACCUCUUUUGUCAGGGAACAAAGGCGGGGACGUUUCACCGGAUGAGUGUACCUGAAGAAAAAGCAUCGGCUAACUCCGUGCCAGCAGCCGCGGUAAUACGGGGGAUGCGAGCGUUAUCCUGAUUUAUUGGGUUUAAAUGGAGCGCAGGCGUUCUUUUAAGUCAGCGGUGAAAGCCCGGGGCUCAACCCCGGCCCGCCGUUGAAACUGGCAGUCGCGAGUUGGAGAGAAGUAGGCGGAAUGCGCGGUGUAGCGGUGAAAUGCAUAGAUAUCGCGCAGAACUCCGAUUGCGAAGGCAGCAUGCCGGCUCCACACUGACGCUGAGGCACGAAAGCGUGGGUAUCGAACAGGAUUAGAUACCCGUGUAGUC
Molecule: ribosomal RNA, 459 nt
Filed under: uncultured bacterium
Lineage: Bacteria
Description: partial 16S ribosomal RNA
Rfam family: Bacterial small subunit ribosomal RNA
Source: RNAcentral